RNAcentral lists this transfer RNA (74 nucleotides) under Acanthopleura vaillantii. Its description in RNAcentral is "tRNA-Thr". Lineage: Eukaryota; Metazoa; Mollusca; Polyplacophora; Chitonida; Chitonidae. The record is from RNAcentral.
GCUAGAAAAGCUUUGUUUUAAGCGUUGGUCUUGUAAACCAAAGAAGAAUAACCAUUUCUUCUAGCAAACUACUA